CUACGGGGGGCUGCAGUGAGGAAUAUUGCACAAUGGGGGGAACCCUGAUGCAGCAACGCCGCGUGGAGGAUGACGCAUUUCGGUGUGUAAACUCCUUUUAUAUGUCAAGAAAAUGACGGUAGCAUAUGAAUAAGCACCGGCUAACUCCGUGCCAGCAGCCGCGGUAAUACGGAGGGUGCAAGCGUUACUCGGAAUCACUGGGCGUAAAGGACGCGUAGGCGGGCUUGUAAGUCAGGUGUGAAAUCCUACAGCUUAACUGUAGAACUGCACUUGAAACUACGAGCCUAGAGUAUGGGAGGGGGAGAUGGAAUUAGUGGUGUAGGGGUAAAAUCCGUAGAUAUCACUAGGAAUACCUAAAGCGAAGGCGAUCUCCUGGAACAUAACUGACGCUAAGGCGUGAAAGCGUGGGGAGCAAACAGGAUUAGAUACCCGAGUAGUC
This 439-nucleotide ribosomal RNA is filed under the name uncultured bacterium. Its description in RNAcentral is "partial 16S ribosomal RNA". It matches the Rfam family "Bacterial small subunit ribosomal RNA", at positions 339 to 795 of the family's 1533-position model. The record is from RNAcentral.